RNAcentral lists this ribosomal RNA (1602 nucleotides) under Triticum aestivum (bread wheat). RNAcentral describes it as "partial small subunit ribosomal RNA". The record is from RNAcentral. Lineage: Eukaryota; Viridiplantae; Streptophyta; Magnoliopsida; Poales; Poaceae.
AUGGAUAGGGAGGGAGACCUGAGUUUUCCCAACAAUGUUGUGUACGCGGCGAAGCAGGUCUACAGCCUCGGGAGGCUGUUCUUUGCCUGCAUGGUCGCCGGCGGCAUCCAGUACGCCUGGGCGCUGCAGCUCUCCCUCCUCUCCCCCUACACUCAGAGUCUUGGGAUCCCACACCACCACGUUUCCCUCACUUUGGUCUGCGGACCUAUCGCUGGGUUUGUUGUGCCACCCAUCGUGGGUUACUACAGCGACCGGUGCACGGCGAUGAUGGGCCGGAGAAGACCCUUCAUCGUCGCCGGAUGUCUCAUCAUCUGCCUCUCCGUGAUGCUCAUCGGCUUCUCGGCAGACAUUGGGCGGCUACUCGGCGACACCAAGGAGCAUUGCACCACCAGCACGGGCGCUCGCUGGGCUGCCACAGCCGUGUAUAUCGUCGGGUUCUGGUUCCUCAAUUUCGCCAACAAUGCCGCCCAAGGUCCGGCUCGUGCACUCAUGGCUGAUCUCUCUGCUGGAAACUAUAUGCCCAGCGUCGGGCAGGCCAUCUUCUGCGGGUGGAUGGCCAUCGGCAACGUCCUGGGCUAUAUGGCCGGCGCCGACGGUGAAUGGCACGUGUGGCUCCCUUGGCUCAAAACUGCGGCGUGCUGCGAAGCCUGCGCAAAUCUCAAGGGCGCCUUCCUCACCGCUGUGAUCGUCAUUAUCAUCAGUACGUCCAUCACCAUGUAUAUUGCUGAAGAGAAGCAGCUCGACAAUGCCGACGUGGAGGCCUCCUCUGGCCGCCGUGGAUGCAUAUGCCGCUUUGGCGACUUCUUCAAGAGCUUGAAGAACCUUCCCCCAUCUAUGUUCAAAGUGCUCGCCGUCACGGCUGUAACCUGGCUAGCGUGGUUCCCCUUCAUCCAGUAUGGCACUGACUGGAUGGGCAGGGAGAUCUACCACGGCGAGCCGCAGGGGCCCAAGGUGGCCGUCUACUACGCCGGCGUCCGCGAGGGUGCCGUCGGCCUGCUGCUCUCUUCUAUGUGCCUCUUGGCCGCCUCCUUCAACACCCCCCACCUUUGCGGUAGGCUCACGUCCAGGGUCGUGUGGUCCUUAAGCAACUUCAUCCUAUUUGGCAUCAUGACAGCCAUGGUGAUCCUUGGCUUGGUCUCCACCAAGGGGUACAACGCGUCUUUCACGGCUGGCCUCACCGGCCCUGACCCCAAGCUUAGGGUCAUCGCGCUCUCCCUCUUCGCGCUCAUCGGAAUCCCACAGGCCGUGUUGUUCAGUGUACCGUGGGCUGUUGCUUCUAAGGUUGCCGACGACGGUGGCCAUUGCCUCGCCAUUGGUGUCCUGAACAUUGCCAUCGUCGUGCCACAGCUGAUUAUCGUGCUCACCGCUGGCCCGAUCGAGAAAGCCUUUGGAAAGGGCAACACACCGGCAUUCGGCAUUGGUUGCGCCUUCGCCUUCAUCUGUGCAGUCCUUGCGCUCAUCCUCCUUCCCAAGACAAGAGGCACGAGAGGGCCAUGGCCUCCAGGGAGCGCUGAUAUGGUACAUCCCCAGGCACGAGAGGGACCUUGGAUGCAAACUUGUUCUCAAGCUAAGUGGGUUAUCUACGAGCAAUUAGAAGACUAG